This is a long non-coding RNA of Zophobas morio, 913 nucleotides long. RefSeq lists it as uncharacterized. The record is from RefSeq and is a predicted model, not a curated record. The transcript is spliced from 3 exons. NCBI's taxonomy places the organism in Eukaryota, Metazoa, Arthropoda, Insecta, Coleoptera, Tenebrionidae.
ACAGACUCAUUGACAGCGUGUGACGUCACCACGAUGGGUCCAGGAAUAUUCAGGACCGCCACAAAUUUUUUUUCAGAUUGUAGAUUAUAUUGGAUGUUCUGUGGAUUGUAGUACGUACUUAGCAGGUCAUUUUAAAACCAUAGAAAUGCCAACGAAAUGUUGUGUACCGAAUUGCCGGGGCAAUUGCAAAAAUGGGCCAAGACCAUCAAUGCUCCAAGCAUUCUUCAGACAAAAUUCUGGAUUUUAUUGAAAAUUUGUUCCAGCAACCGUCAACCCAAUGGGAAAGUUGCAAACUCAGUAUGUAUAAAUUGUUAGUUAUAAGAGUAAAUGUAUUUGAGUACCUUGUGUACUAGUCAUGUAGGAUAAUAACCAGGAUAAUGUCAAGUACGUAAAAGUGUGUUGUGGCUGUCAGAAGUACAAUGGAUAAAAAAAACUAUAAAUACAAAUGCAAAGUGCCUUCUUGUCAAAAUGUAUCGGGUACAAACAAACAUUUUUUUUCUUUUCCGAAAGCGACAAAACAAAGGCAAAUAUGGUUCAUUGCUUUAAACAAUGCAUUUCCCGGCGAUGUUGAAUAUACUGACAAAAAAGUUUAUUUAUGUGAAGAUCAUCUUACUAAUAACUUUUUCACUAGUACCUUACGCACCAGAUUACACAAAUUUGCCGUACCAACAAUAUUUAAUAAUUGUAAUAACAAUAUUUCCGAUAGAUUUUCUAUUACUAAUGAACACGAUUAUUGUUCGUCGCACGUGAAUAAUAUUAGCGAAAGAUGUGUAACACCAACGGGGUACAAUAAUUUUUGCUCAGAUCAAAUAACUGAUCCUCGUAAUAGUUUAAUUUCGUCAACUCCUCAUCAACAAAAGAGAUCAUGUAGUCCUUCUGCCAUUAACUCUUCAACAAAAAAAAGAAAAAACAG